This 253-nucleotide ribosomal RNA is filed under the name uncultured bacterium. Its description in RNAcentral is "partial 16S ribosomal RNA". It matches the Rfam family "Bacterial small subunit ribosomal RNA", at positions 524 to 776 of the family's 1533-position model. The record is from RNAcentral.
UACAGAGGUCUCAAGCGUUGUUCGGAUUCAUUGGGCGUAAAGCGCGCGUAGGUGGCCACAUAAGUCCGUUGUGAAAGUCAAAGGCUCAACCUUUGAAAGCCGAUGGAUACUGUGUGGCUAGAGUACGGAAGAGGCGAGUGGAAUUCCUGGUGUAGCGGUGGAAUGCGCAGAUAUCAGGAGAAACACCAAUAGCGAAGGCAGCUCGCUGGGACGUUACUGACACUGAGGCGCGAAAGCGUGGGGAGCGAACAGG